Molecule: ribosomal RNA, 2927 nt
Filed under: Klebsiella oxytoca
Lineage: Bacteria; Pseudomonadati; Pseudomonadota; Gammaproteobacteria; Enterobacterales; Enterobacteriaceae
Description: bacterial LSU rRNA
Rfam family: Bacterial large subunit ribosomal RNA
Source: RNAcentral
GGGUUGUGAGGUUAAGCGACUAAGCGUACACGGUGGAUGCCCUGGCAGUCAGAGGCGAUGAAGGACGUGCUAAUCUGCGAAAAGCGUCGGUAAGGUGAUAUGAACCGUUAUAGCCGGCGAUGUCCGAAUGGGGAAACCCAGUGCAAUUCGUUGCACUAUCGUUAACUGAAUACAUAGGUUAACGAGGCGAACCGGGGGAACUGAAACAUCUAAGUACCCCGAGGAAAAGAAAUCAACCGAGAUUCCCCCAGUAGCGGCGAGCGAACGGGGAGCAGCCCGGAGUCUGAAUCAGCUUGUGUGUUAGUGGAAGCGUCUGGAAAGUCGCAGGGUACAGGGUGAUACUCCCGUACACUAAAACACACAGGCUGUGAACUCGAAGAGUAGGGCGGGACACGUGGUAUCCUGUCUGAAUAUGGGGGGACCAUCCUCCAAGGCUAAAUACUCCUGACUGACCGAUAGUGAACCAGUACCGUGAGGGAAAGGCGAAAAGAACCCCGGCGAGGGGAGUGAAAAAGAACCUGAAACCGUGUACGUACAAGCAGUAGGAGCCCACUAGUUGGGUGACUGCGUACCUUUUGUAUAAUGGGUCAGCGACUUAUAUUCUGUAGCAAGGUUAACCGUAUAGGGGAGCCGCAGGGAAACCGAGUCUUAACUGGGCGUUAAGUUGCAGGGUAUAGACCCGAAACCCGGUGAUCUAGCCAUGGGCAGGUUGAAGGUUGGGUAACACUAACUGGAGGACCGAACCGACUAAUGUUGAAAAAUUAGCGGAUGACUUGUGGCUGGGGGUGAAAGGCCAAUCAAACCGGGAGAUAGCUGGUUCUCCCCGAAAGCUAUUUAGGUAGCGCCUCGUGAAUUCAUCUUCGGGGGUAGAGCACUGUUUCGGCUAGGGGGUCAUCCCGACUUACCAACCCGAUGCAAACUACGAAUACCGAAGAAUGUUAUCACGGGAGACACACGGCGGGUGCUAACGUCCGUCGUGAAGAGGGAAACAACCCAGACCGCCAGCUAAGGUCCCAAAGUCAUGGUUAAGUGGGAAACGAUGUGGGAAGGCCCAGACAGCCAGGAUGUUGGCUUAGAAGCAGCCAUCAUUUAAAGAAAGCGUAAUAGCUCACUGGUCGAGUCGGCCUGCGCGGAAGAUGUAACGGGGCUAAACCAUGCACCGAAGCUGCGGCAGCGACACUAUGUGUUGUUGGGUAGGGGAGCGUUCUGUAAGCCGUUGAAGGUGGCCUGUGAGGGUUGCUGGAGGUAUCAGAAGUGCGAAUGCUGACAUAAGUAACGAUAAUGCGGGUGAAAAACCCGCACGCCGGAAGACCAAGGGUUCCUGUCCAACGUUAAUCGGGGCAGGGUGAGUCGACCCCUAAGGCGAGGCCGAAAGGCGUAGUCGAUGGGAAACAGGUUAAUAUUCCUGUACUUGGUGUUACUGCGAAGGGGGGACGGAGAAGGCUAUGUUGGCCGGGCGACGGUUGUCCCGGUUUAAGCAUGUAGGCGGAUGUUCCAGGUAAAUCCGGAACGUUACUAACGCUGAGGUGUGAUGACGAGGCACUACGGUGCUGAAGUGACAAAUGCCCUGCUUCCAGGAAAAGCCUCUAAGCAUCAGGUAACAUCAAAUCGUACCCCAAACCGACACAGGUGGUCAGGUAGAGAAUACCAAGGCGCUUGAGAGAACUCGGGUGAAGGAACUAGGCAAAAUGGUGCCGUAACUUCGGGAGAAGGCACGCUGAUGGUAGGUGAAGUGACUUGCUCAUGGAGCUGAAAUCAGUCGAAGAUACCAGCUGGCUGCAACUGUUUAUUAAAAACACAGCACUGUGCAAACACGAAAGUGGACGUAUACGGUGUGACGCCUGCCCGGUGCCGGAAGGUUAAUUGAUGGGGUUAUCCUCACGGAGAAGCUCUUGAUCGAAGCCCCGGUAAACGGCGGCCGUAACUAUAACGGUCCUAAGGUAGCGAAAUUCCUUGUCGGGUAAGUUCCGACCUGCACGAAUGGCGUAAUGAUGGCCAGGCUGUCUCCACCCGAGACUCAGUGAAAUUGAACUCGCUGUGAAGAUGCAGUGUACCCGCGGCAAGACGGAAAGACCCCGUGAACCUUUACUAUAGCUUGACACUGAACACUGGUCCUUGAUGUGUAGGAUAGGUGGGAGGCUUUGAAGUGUGGACGCCAGUCUGCAUGGAGCCGUCCUUGAAAUACCACCCUUUAAUGGCUGGUGUUCUAACGUGGGCCCGUAAUCCGGGUUGCGGACAGUGUCUGGUGGGUAGUUUGACUGGGGCGGUCUCCUCCUAAAGAGUAACGGAGGAGCACGAAGGUCAGCUAAUCCUGGUCGGACAUCAGGAGGUUAGUGCAAUGGCAUAAGCUGGCUUGACUGCGAGCGUGACGGCGCGAGCAGGUGCGAAAGCAGGUCAUAGUGAUCCGGUGGUUCUGAAUGGAAGGGCCAUCGCUCAACGGAUAAAAGGUACUCCGGGGAUAACAGGCUGAUACCGCCCAAGAGUUCAUAUCGACGGCGGUGUUUGGCACCUCGAUGUCGGCUCAUCACAUCCUGGGGCUGAAGUAGGUCCCAAGGGUAUGGCUGUUCGCCAUUUAAAGUGGUACGCGAGCUGGGUUUAGAACGUCGUGAGACAGUUCGGUCCCUAUCUGCCGUGGGCGCUGGAGAAUUGAGGGGGGCUGCUCCUAGUACGAGAGGACCGGAGUGGACGCAUCACUGGUGUUCGGGUUGUCAUGCCAAUGGCAUUGCCCGGUAGCUAAAUGCGGAAGAGAUAAGUGCUGAAAGCAUCUAAGCACGAAACUUGCCCCGAGAUGAGUUCUCCCUGACUCCUUGAGAGUCCUGAAGGAACGUUGAAGACGACGACGUUGAUAGGCCGGGUGUGUAAGCGCAGCGAUGCGUUGAGCUAACCGGUACUAAUGAACCGUGAGGCUUAACCUUACAACGCCGAAG